RNAcentral lists this ribosomal RNA (538 nucleotides) under uncultured bacterium. Its description in RNAcentral is "bacterial SSU rRNA". It matches the Rfam family "Bacterial small subunit ribosomal RNA", at positions 94 to 630 of the family's 1533-position model. The record is from RNAcentral.
ACCGGCAAACGGGUGCGGAACACGUACGCAAUCUUCCCAAAACUGAUGAAUAGCCCUCCGAAAGGAGGAUUAAUACAUCGUAACUUAAUGAAGUGGCAUCACUUUAUUAAUAUAGCUCCGGCGGUUUUGGAUGAGCGUGCGGCUGAUUAGGUAGUUGGCGGGGUAACGGCCCACCAAGCCUGCGAUCAGUAACUGGUGUGGGAGCACGACCAGUCAUACGGGCACUGAGACACGGGCCCGACUCCUACGGGAGGCAGCAGUAAGGAAUAUUGGUCAAUGGACGCAAGUCUGAACCAGCCAUGCCGCGUGAAGGAUGAAGGCCCUCUGGGUUGUAAACUUCUUUUAUCUGGGACGAAACCACUUUUUUCUAGAAGUGUUGACGGUACCAGAGGAAUAUGCACCGGCUAACUCCGUGCCAGCAGCCGCGGUAAUACGGAGGGUGCAAGCGUUAUCCGGAUUCACUGGGUUUAAAGGGAGCGUAGGUGGGCAGGUAAGUCAGUGGUGAAAUCUUUGGUCUUAACCCGAAAACUGCCAUUGA